Molecule: ribosomal RNA, 303 nt
Filed under: uncultured bacterium
Lineage: Bacteria
Description: bacterial SSU rRNA
Rfam family: Bacterial small subunit ribosomal RNA
Source: RNAcentral
UGGGGAAUAUUGCACAAUGGGGGGAACCCUGAUGCAGCGACGCCGCGUGAGUGAAGAAGUAUUUCGGUAUGUAAAGCUCUGUCAGCAGGGAAGAAAGAGACGGUACCUGACCAAGAAGCCCCGGCUAACUACGUGCCAGCAGCCGCGGUAAUACGUAGGGGGCAAGCGUUAUCCGGAUUUACUGGGUGUAAAGGGAGCGUAGACGGCAAUGCAAGUCUGGAGUGAAAGCCCGCGGCCCAACUGCGGGACUGCUCUGGAAACUGUAAUGCUUGAGUGCAGGAGGGGUAAGCGGAAUUCCUGGUG